RNAcentral lists this ribosomal RNA (433 nucleotides) under uncultured bacterium. RNAcentral's name for it is "partial 16S ribosomal RNA". It matches the Rfam family "Bacterial small subunit ribosomal RNA", at positions 29 to 507 of the family's 1533-position model. The record is from RNAcentral.
AGCGAACGCUGGCGGCAGGCCUAACACAUGCAAGUCGAACGGAUCCUUCGGGAUUAGUGGCGGACGGGUGAGUAACACGUGGGAACGUGCCCUUUGGUUCGGAACAACCCAGGGAAACUUGAGCUAAUACCGGAUGUGCCCUUCGGGGGAAAGAUUUAUCGCCAUUGGAGCGGCCCGCGUCUGAUUAGCUAGUUGGUGAGGUAACGGCCCACCAAGGCGACGAUCAGUAGCUGGUCUGAGAGGAUGAUCAGCCACACUGGGACUGAGACACGGCCCAGACUCCUACGGGAGGCAGCAGUGGGGAAUCUUGCGCAAUGGGCGAAAGCCUGACGCAGCCAUGCCGCGUGAAUGAUGAAGGUCUUAGGAUUGUAAAAUUCUUUCAGCGGGGACGAUAAUGACGGUACCCGCAGAAGAAGCUCUGGCUAACUUCGUG